AAUCAACGCUGGCGGCGUGCCUAACACAUGCAAGUCGAACGCGAAAGUCCCGCAAGGGAUUAGUAGAGUGGCAAACGGGUGAGUAACACGUGGGUGACCUGCCUUCGAGUGGGGGAUAACGUCCCGAAAGGGACGCUAAUACCGCAUAACAUCCUGCCUUUUAAGAGGUGGAGAUCAAAGCUGGGGACCGUAAGGCCUGGCGCUGGAAGAGGGGCCCGCGUCUGAUUAGCUAGUUGGUGAGGAACGGCUCACCAAGGCAACGAUCAGUAUCCGGCCUGAGAGGGCGGACGGACACACUGGGACUGAGACACGGCCCAGACUCCUACGGGAGGCAGCAGUGGGGAAUUGUUCGCAAUGGGCGCAAGCCUGACGACGCAACGCCGCGUGGAGGAUGAAGA
This 398-nucleotide ribosomal RNA is filed under the name uncultured bacterium. RNAcentral's name for it is "bacterial SSU rRNA". It matches the Rfam family "Bacterial small subunit ribosomal RNA", at positions 29 to 414 of the family's 1533-position model. The record is from RNAcentral.